RNAcentral lists this ribosomal RNA (253 nucleotides) under uncultured bacterium. Its description in RNAcentral is "partial 16S ribosomal RNA". It matches the Rfam family "Bacterial small subunit ribosomal RNA", at positions 524 to 776 of the family's 1533-position model. The record is from RNAcentral.
UACGGAGGGUGCAAGCGUUAAUCGGAUUUAUUGGGCGUAAAGAGCACGUAGGCGGAGUGGAAAGUUAGAUGUGAAAUCCCGAGGCUCAACUUCGGACCCGCAUCUAAAACUCCCAUUCUAGAGGAUGGUCGGAGAAAAGGGAAUUCCACGUGUAGCGGUGAAAUGCGUAGAUAUGUGGAAGAACACCGGUGGCGAAGGCGCUUUUCUAGGUUAUUCCUGACGCUGAGGUGCGAAAGCAAGGGGAGCAAACAGG